CAUGCCAUCCUCUCUUUCUCCUCUCUCUCCAACACCCAAGGGUUGGGCGUCCAAUCUUCCCACAUGCCCAAGGUGUUGGAUGGUUUCUUCUACAUCAAGCAACAAGAAAAAAGACUGCAGUUCAAGUAUUGACAUCGCAGUCAAAGAUCAACGUUUGAUCAAAGUCCAAAAGGUUGAUAUUUAUCUUGAAAAAGAUGGAUCAAUUAUGAAAAGAAAGGUUAAAGAUUGAUCCCGAUGGAUACCUAUAAAGGCUGGAUACGU
This 261-nucleotide long non-coding RNA is filed under the name Elaeis guineensis (African oil palm). Its description in RNAcentral is "long non-coding RNA (EGUI_LNC079722)". Lineage: Eukaryota; Viridiplantae; Streptophyta; Magnoliopsida; Arecales; Arecaceae. The record is from RNAcentral.